Molecule: unclassified non-coding RNA, 246 nt
Filed under: Glomeraceae sp.
Lineage: Eukaryota; Fungi; Glomeromycota; Glomeromycetes; Glomerales; Glomeraceae
Description: partial contains 5.8S ribosomal RNA and internal transcribed spacer 2
Rfam family: 5.8S ribosomal RNA (bases 1-71)
Source: RNAcentral
GUGAAUCAUCAAAUCUUUGAACGCAAAUUGCGCUUUCUAGCGUCCCGGGAAGUAUGCCUGUUUGAGGGUCAGUGUUAACACAAAAAUCGGUUUGGUUGCAAAUUGUGACGUUUCCGGAGUUUGGGCUAUCUUAACUUUUUUGGUUGAGUGGCUUAAAUUUGACCUUUUUUGCGCAUUUUUAGACGUACAUAUAUUUUUUUUUAUUCGUCUAUCCUUAUUGCUAAAAUCUUAUUAGCAGCGCUCAUC